GGGUGAGUAACACGUAGAUAAUCUGCCUCCAAGCCUGGGAUAACUAUUCGAAAGGAUGGCUAAUACCGGAUGAAGUUGCCUGGCAUAAGCUGGGUAAUGAAAGAUUGCCUCUUCUUGAAAGCAAUUGUUUGGAGAUGAGUCUGCGGACCAUUAGUUUGUUGGUGGGGUAAAGGCCUACCAAGACUACGAUGGUUAGCUGGUCUGAGAGGAUGAUCAGCCACACUGGAACUGGAACACGGUCCAGACUCC
This 249-nucleotide ribosomal RNA is filed under the name uncultured bacterium. Its description in RNAcentral is "partial 16S ribosomal RNA". It matches the Rfam family "Bacterial small subunit ribosomal RNA", at positions 104 to 339 of the family's 1533-position model. The record is from RNAcentral.